This 22-nucleotide microRNA is filed under the name Sus scrofa (pig). RNAcentral describes it as "ssc-mir36". Lineage: Eukaryota; Metazoa; Chordata; Mammalia; Artiodactyla; Suidae. The record is from RNAcentral.
CGCUAUCUCACUCUACCCAAGG